UCAAUGAGUGACCUUGAGCCACCUAAGGU
RNAcentral lists this non-coding RNA (29 nucleotides) under Rattus norvegicus (Norway rat). The record is from RNAcentral. Lineage: Eukaryota; Metazoa; Chordata; Mammalia; Rodentia; Muridae.